GACGAACGCUGGCGGUAUGCUUAACACAUGCAAGUCGAACGAGACAAGAUGGAAGUGCUUGCACGGAAAUCUUAGAAAGUGGCGAACGGGUGAGUAACGCGUGGGUAACCUGCCCUAUGGAAAGGAAUAGCCUCGGGAAACUGGGAGUAAUGCCUUAUAAGAUAUAUUUGUCGCAUGGCAGAUGUAUUAAACGCUCCGGUGCCAUAGGAUGGACCCGCGUCCCAUUAGCUAGUUUGUGAGAUAACAGCCCACCAAGGCGACGAUGGGUAACCGGUCUGAGAGGGCGAACGGUCACACUGGAACUGAGACACGGUCCAGACUCCUACGGGAGGCAGCAGUGGGGAAUAUUGCGCAAUGGGGGAAACCCUGACGCAGCAAUACCGCGUGAGUGAAGAAGGUUUUCGGAUCGUAAAGCUCUGUUAUUGGGGAAGAAAAAAAGACGGUACCCAAGAAGAAAGUCCCGGCUAACUACGUGCCAGCAGCCGCCGUAA
This 491-nucleotide ribosomal RNA is filed under the name uncultured bacterium. RNAcentral's name for it is "partial 16S ribosomal RNA". It matches the Rfam family "Bacterial small subunit ribosomal RNA", at positions 28 to 523 of the family's 1533-position model. The record is from RNAcentral.